AUACGUAGGUGGCAAGCGUUGUCCGGAAUUACUGGGUGUAAAGGGAGCGUAGGCGGGAAAAUAAGUUGAAUGUGAAAUCUAUGGGCUUAACCCAUAUCAGCGUUCAAAACUGUUUUUCUUGAAUGAAGUAGAGGUAGGCGGAAUUCCUAGUGUAGCGGUGAAAUGCGUAAAUAUUAGGAGGAACACCAGUGGCGAAGGCGGCCUACUGGGCUUUAAUUGACGCUGAGUCACGAAAGCGUGGGUAGC
This 246-nucleotide ribosomal RNA is filed under the name uncultured bacterium. Its description in RNAcentral is "partial 16S ribosomal RNA". It matches the Rfam family "Bacterial small subunit ribosomal RNA", at positions 523 to 769 of the family's 1533-position model. The record is from RNAcentral.